Molecule: long non-coding RNA, 373 nt
Filed under: Phasianus colchicus (ring-necked pheasant)
Lineage: Eukaryota; Metazoa; Chordata; Aves; Galliformes; Phasianidae
Description: lncRNA (ENSPCLG00000019083.1)
Source: RNAcentral
GGUUCAUUUUGGACCAUUUUUGGGGUCAUUUUUGGGGUCAUUUUUGGGACAUUUUUGGGGUCAUUUUGGGUCAUUUUGGGGCCCAUUUUUUGGGGCCAUUUUUUUCGGUUCAUUUUGGACCAUUUUUGGGGUCAUUUUGAGUCAUUUUGGGACAUUUUGGGGCCCAUUUUUUGGGGCCAUUUUUUGGGGGUCAUUUUUGGGGCCAUUUUUGGGGCCAUUUUUGGGGCCAUUUUUGGGGCCAUUUUUGGGGUCAUUUUUGGGGUCAUUUUUGGGGUCAUUUUGGGGCAUUUUUGGGGUCAUUUUUGGGGUAUUUUGGGUUAUUUUGGGACGUUUUUUGGGACCAUUUUUGGGGGUUCAUUUUGGACCCUUUUUA